CUGAAAUUAAAAUUUUAUUUAUAUAUAUAUAUAUAUAUAUAUAUAAGUUUUAUAUGAUUUUUUUAAAAUAUUAAUAUUUUAUUAAUUUUGUGAAAAAAUUUUCUUAAUGAUAGUUAAUUUGUAUUGUGAAAGAAUAUUUUUAUUUAUAAAAAAGAAUAAUUAAUUUUUAGUACCUUGUGUAUCAGGGUUGAUUAAAAUAUUUAUAUAAAAGUUUAUGAGUCUCGAAUCUAAAAGGGCUAAGGUUUAUAUUUUUUAAAUGUUUCAUAAUUUUUUAAAAUUUAAUUUUAGUAAUGAAAUGUUAUUCGUUUUUUGAUAUAUCUAGUUUUUUAAGAAAUAAAUUUAAUUUAUUUAUUUUUAAAAUUGUUUUAAAUUAAAAAUUUAAUUUUGGAAAUAAAAAAUUUUCUUGGGGAAAAGCUUGAGAAUAUAAGUUUAUUUAAAUUUAAAGUUUAAAUUUGUAAGUAGGAUUAUAAUUUUCCGUCAUUUUUAGAAUGUUAUAGUUUUCUUAUUAUUAAUAAUUAUUUAUAUAUUUAAUAAAUUUUUUAUUGAAAUUUUAAAUAAAACUAAAUUAUUUAAGCAAUAAUGAUUAAAUUAGUAUAUUUUUGUGUAUAUUUAAUUUUUAAUUAAAGAUUUAAUAAAUGAAUUCGGCAAUUUUAUUUUUCACCUGUUUAUUAAAAACAUGGCCUUUUGAGGAGAAUUUAAGGUUGCGCCUGCUCAAUGGCAAGAUUAAAUAGCUGCAGUAUUUUGACUGUACUAAGGUAGCAUAAUCAUUAGUUUCUUAAUUGGGGACUGGAAUGAAAGGUUUGAUGAGAAAAUAACUGUCUCUUUUAUAAAUAUAGAAAUUUAUUAUUGAGUAAAAAAGCUCAAAUUUAGUUAAAAGACGAGAAGACCCUAUAGAGUUUAAUAAUUAAUUAAUUUUUAUUAAUAAAGGUAAGAAAUUUGUUAAAAUUAAAAUUAUUAUUUGAUUGGGGUGAUUUAAAAAUUUAUUAAACUUUUUUUUGUUGAUACUUUAGUUUGAGAUUAAUUUGAUCCGUUAUUUAACGAUUAAAAGAAUAAAUUACCUUAGGGAUAACAGCGUAAUCUUUUUUUAGAGCUCUAAUCGAUAAAAAGGAUUGCGACCUCGAUGUUGGAUUAAAAUUAACUUUUCAGCGCAAAAGCUAAAUAGUUGAGUCUGUUCGACUUUUAAAAUUUUACAUGAUCUGAGUUUAAACCGGCGUGAGCCAGGUUGGUUUCUAUCUUUAAUAUAAUUUAAGAUUUUAGUACGAAAGGACCAAAUUUUUGAUUAAUAAUUUAUUAUUUGAAUAUUAAUGUUAUUUUGGCAGAAUAGUGCAAUUGAUUUAGAAUCUUUAUAUAUAGAUAUAACUAUAG
This 1365-nucleotide ribosomal RNA is filed under the name Cryptocephalus mystacatus. Its description in RNAcentral is "16S ribosomal RNA". The stretch from base 1065 to 1224 matches the Rfam family "Archaeal large subunit ribosomal RNA", at positions 2542 to 2701 of the family's 2987-position model. Lineage: Eukaryota; Metazoa; Arthropoda; Insecta; Coleoptera; Chrysomelidae. The record is from RNAcentral.